UAAUGGCAGGUCAGCAUACUGCCGUGAAUACGUUCCCGGGCCUUGUACACACCGCCCGUCACACCAUGAGAGUUGGGAAUACCCGAAGCCUGUGGGCUAACGAAAGAGGCAGCAGUCGAAGGUAGAAUCAAUGAUUGGGGUGAAGUCGUAACAAGGUAUC
RNAcentral lists this ribosomal RNA (160 nucleotides) under uncultured bacterium. RNAcentral's name for it is "partial 16S ribosomal RNA". It matches the Rfam family "Bacterial small subunit ribosomal RNA", at positions 1339 to 1500 of the family's 1533-position model. The record is from RNAcentral.